GCCACUCCCUUUUCUCUGAUUGGACGGGGGCGGGAGAAAAGGGACUGGUGACUCUGGGACACAUUUUGUGUCUCUACCAGAAUUUGGGUAGAGAUUAUUCAUUGAUUUUUCCACGUGAUCCAAAAAUUGCGUGAGGUUAAGUAGAAUUGCGUAGCCUGCAAAAGUGAUCGCGGGCUUCUUAGCUACAGUUUAAGAAUGGAUGCUAGUGCUAGAAAAGAGAAGAUGAUGGAGUAAUAACAUCAUCAGGCAUUCAGCUAGGAUAUAGUCAUCUAAGACACCAGCAGAGAUUAGCUUGUUUUAGUUUUACGUGAUGAGAACUGGCAGCCGAAAGUCAUUGGUUGCCUAAAGCUUUUAAUAACCUGUACAAUACAAGACAGGUAAUGGCAGACGGCAGCAGUUGAAUUGAGAGUAGUCAGACUUGUACAAGCUGUCUUAAAUCGCUGCCACUCCUCGGUUCAAAGAAGGACUGCCAAGAUUUCUACGUUCAUCAUCUGUUCCAUGCUAAUCCACAAGUUGUGGCACAACAGACACUGGUACAAGGAUCUAAAGGCUGGCUAGAUAGAUCUGUAUACUUGUCUUCUGUGUGUCUUUAGCUUUUGACGCAUCAGAAUAAAUGGAUAAUUUGCACGUGACAUUAAUAUUUAAUAGCAUUCCUGAUUUACACAAGCUGUAGCCCAGAGUCACCAGUCCCUUUUCUCCCGCCCCCGUCCAAUCAGAGAAAAGGGAGUGGCUUGCGAGUCUCCUGUGUCUAUGGCUGGGGAAGCUCAGUAUACUGGUGUCUGCAGACUAUGUGGUGCAAGUGAAGAUGGUCUCCUACAGUCAUCCAUCCAACACACUCCCUGGUGGCCGAUGUUGUGAUUCACCAUGGAGAUUCAACGGUGUAGUACCAUGUAACGAAGGGGAACGCUGUGACACCUUCUUCAUCUACUGCCUGAGACCACAUGCCAGUACUACUCAAUGUAGUUAAGGACUGUCCCUGUGAUUGUUAAGGACUUUUUUGUACAAGUGAUCAUAUCUUUGAGAUAGUUUCAUAUGAAUCAAUGAAAUUUUGUAGGAAUGUAGUCUCAUAAAGAAGCUACAUGCUGACAUAGA
Halichondria panicea is the source of this 1092-nucleotide long non-coding RNA. RefSeq lists it as uncharacterized. The record is from RefSeq and is a predicted model, not a curated record. The transcript has 2 exons. NCBI's taxonomy places the organism in Eukaryota, Metazoa, Porifera, Demospongiae, Suberitida, Halichondriidae.